UACAGAGGGUGCAAGCGUUGUUCGGAAUUAUUGGGCGUAAAGCGCGUGUAGGCGGCUUUGCAAGUCGGGUGUGAAAGCCCUCAGCUUAACUGAGGAAGUGCGCCCGAAACUGCAGAGCUUGAAUACCGGAGAGGAUGGCGGAAUUCCCCAAGUAGAGGUGAAAUUCGUAGAUAUGGGGAGGAACACCGGUGGCGAAGGCGGCCUCCUGGGCUAGUACUGACGCUCAUGCACGAAAGCGUGGGGAGCAAACAGG
RNAcentral lists this ribosomal RNA (253 nucleotides) under uncultured bacterium. RNAcentral's name for it is "partial 16S ribosomal RNA". It matches the Rfam family "Bacterial small subunit ribosomal RNA", at positions 524 to 776 of the family's 1533-position model. The record is from RNAcentral.